This is a long non-coding RNA of Sphaeramia orbicularis (orbiculate cardinalfish), 126 nucleotides long. RefSeq lists it as uncharacterized. NCBI's taxonomy places the organism in Eukaryota, Metazoa, Chordata, Actinopteri, Kurtiformes, Apogonidae. The record is from RefSeq and is a predicted model, not a curated record. The transcript has 2 exons.
CCUUUACAAAACUGGCAAAGUUCUGCCUCCUUCCUCAUGGAAAGGGCUCUGGUGAAGGAAUUCCUCACCCCUGGUGGAUUAUCACUGUAUUGCAUGUAUCUAAUUGUAUACAUCAGGUUUUUCAAG